UCAACCCAUCGAAUAAGCUGAUGUUAAUGCUCUUAAGCAUAUACUUACUCGUCUAACUUGUUUUGCCAGCUCUUGGAGAGAGAUGUUGCCCACAUAUAUAAGUGGCCCAACUCUCCAUUUCCAUAUGUUACAAAUCUCCCACUAAAUCUCACUACGCAUACAACUCUCUCCCUCUCUCUAUACAUAUAUACACACACACAUAGAGAGAUGAAGAUCACACUCAAAUCAUCCCUCUCUCUAUUUCUGGCUUUGCUCCUAUUUUGGUUUGUUUUCUCUCCUUCAUUUCAUCAAGCUGCAGAUGAAGAUAUGAUGACAACUUCUCGAUUUGUCAUGAAAAAGUCAAGAAAAUCAACGUAUCCUUUGUCUUCAUCAGCUUCUCCAAAACACGAGCAGUCGAAGAAAGCCACGGAGCAAAGCUUGAGGGCCAGACCGCCCAGCGUUCCCAAUCCCACUCAAAACUGACAAAAUUUGUGGCCUCAAACUCAUAUGAUAUGUGGGAAAUAGUUAUAUAAACAAGUCUUGUAUGAAUUUGCUUAAAGUUGUACUAGUUCUUAGUUCUCUAGUUGUGGAUGGUGAUGGUGAUGGAAUGAAUAAUUACUACUAGUUUUGAGCUUGUUUCUAGUGUGUGGCUAUUUAGUUAAGAGCAUUACUUUAUGAAGAUCAUGGCUAACUGCUCCAUGUGAUGUGAGGGCAAAAGGCAAGCAUCCUAUUUCGUGCAUAUCUUAAUUAUUUCAUAAAAGAUAUUCAACUUAGUUUGUGUCACACUAUUUCCACACGUGAACACUGAUGAGACAGUUU
RNAcentral lists this long non-coding RNA (798 nucleotides) under Salvia miltiorrhiza (redroot sage). Its description in RNAcentral is "long non-coding RNA (SMIL_LNC011808)". The record is from RNAcentral. Lineage: Eukaryota; Viridiplantae; Streptophyta; Magnoliopsida; Lamiales; Lamiaceae.